RNAcentral lists this ribosomal RNA (251 nucleotides) under uncultured bacterium. RNAcentral's name for it is "partial 16S ribosomal RNA". It matches the Rfam family "Bacterial small subunit ribosomal RNA", at positions 15 to 253 of the family's 1533-position model. The record is from RNAcentral.
GAUCCUGGCUCAGGACGAACGCUGGCGGCGUGCCUAACACAUGCAAGUCGAGCGGAGAACAGGGAAGUGCUUGCACGGAACUGUUUUUAGCGGCGGACGGGUGAGUAACGCGUGAACAAGCUGUCCUUCACAGGGGAGUAACACUUGGAACAGGUGCUAAUACCGCAUAAGACCACAGGGGUGGCAUGCCUCAGGGGUCGAAAGGAAGCAAUCCGGUGAAGGGUGCGUUCGCGUCCCAUUAGAUAGUUGGG